RNAcentral lists this ribosomal RNA (253 nucleotides) under uncultured bacterium. RNAcentral describes it as "partial 16S ribosomal RNA". It matches the Rfam family "Bacterial small subunit ribosomal RNA", at positions 524 to 776 of the family's 1533-position model. The record is from RNAcentral.
UACGAAGGGGGCUAGCGUUGUUCGGAAUUACUGGGCGUAAAGCGCACGUAGGCGGACUUAUAAGUCAGGGGUGAAAUCCCGGGGCUCAACCUCGGAACUGCCUUUGAUACUGUAAGUCUCGAGUCCGGAAGAGGUGAGUGGAAUUCCUAGUGUAGAGGUGAAAUUCGUAGAUAUUAGGAAGAACACCAGUGGCGAAGGCGGCUCACUGGUCCGGUACUGACGCUCAUGCACGAAAGCGUGGGGAGCAAACAGG